GACGAACGCUGGCGGCGUGCUUAACACAUGCCAGUCGAACGGAAAGGCCCUGCUUUUGUGGUGUGCUCGAGUGGCGAACGGGUGUGUAACACGUGUGUAACCUGCCCUUGACUUUGGUAUAACUUCAGGAAACUGGGGCUAAUACCGGAUAGGAGCUCCUGCUGCAUGGUGGGGGUUGGAAAUUCUGGGCGGUUGGGGAUGGACUCGCGGCUUAUCAGCUUGUUGGUGGGGUAGUGGCUUACCAAGGCUUUGACGGGUAGCCGGCCUGAGAGGGUGACCGGCCACAUUGGGACUGAGAUACGGCCCAGACUCCUCCGGGAGGCGGAAGUGGGGAAUAUGGCACAAUGGGCGGAAGCCUAUUGCAGAACCGCCGCGUGCGGAAUGCCGGCCUUCGGGUUGUAAACCGCUUUGGCCUGUGACGAAGCGUGAGUGACGGUAAUGGGUAAAGAAGCACCGGCUAACUACGUG
Molecule: ribosomal RNA, 468 nt
Filed under: uncultured bacterium
Lineage: Bacteria
Description: partial 16S ribosomal RNA
Rfam family: Bacterial small subunit ribosomal RNA
Source: RNAcentral